Molecule: small nuclear RNA, 111 nt
Organism: Acomys russatus (golden spiny mouse)
Lineage: Eukaryota; Metazoa; Chordata; Mammalia; Rodentia; Muridae
Source: RefSeq, a predicted model, not a curated record
AUGCUCACUUCAGCAGCACAUAUACUAAAAUUGGAAUGAUACGGAGAAGAUUAGCUCCUGUGCAAGGAUAACACACAUCCCCUGAUGACUAAGGACCUUGAGCACUUCUUU